This 164-nucleotide small RNA is filed under the name Sphingomonas sp. YR710. Its description in RNAcentral is "caulobacter sRNA CC2171". The record is from RNAcentral. Lineage: Bacteria; Pseudomonadati; Pseudomonadota; Alphaproteobacteria; Sphingomonadales; Sphingomonadaceae.
AACGUAGCGAAAGGAGGUGAUCCGAUGUCUCAUGGUUCAGCAUGGAGGUCGGUUCAGUCCGUUCGGGAGACGCGCUCCUAAGGAGCGCCGACGGUUUCCCGGGCCGGCACUUCCGGCCGCUGACCAUGUCAGGGGAUUGCCGGAGCGAAAGCUCCGGCAAUCCU